GGUUUAAUUCGAUGAUACGCGAGGAACCUUACCCGGGCUUGAACUGCAGGAGAACGAUUCAGAGAUGAUGAGGUCCUUCGGGACUCCUGUGGAGGUGCUGCAUGGUUGUCGUCAGCUCGUGCCGUGAGGUGUCGGCUUAAGUGCCAUAACGAGCGCAACCCCUCUCCGUAGUUGCCAUCGGGUAAAUGCCGGGCACUCUGCGGACACUGCCACCGUAAGGUGUGA
Molecule: ribosomal RNA, 225 nt
Filed under: uncultured bacterium
Lineage: Bacteria
Description: partial 16S ribosomal RNA
Rfam family: Bacterial small subunit ribosomal RNA
Source: RNAcentral